GCUCAGAUUGAACGCUGGCGGCAGGCCUAACACAUGCAAGUCGAGCGGUAGAGAGAAGCUUGCUUCUCUUGAGAGCGGCGGACGGGUGAGUAAUGCCUAGGAAUCUGCCUGGUAGUGGGGGAUAACGUUCGGAAACGAACGCUAAUACCGCAUACGUCCUACGGGAGAAAGCAGGGGACCUUCGGGCCUUGCGCUAUCAGAUGAGCCUAGGUCGGAUUAGCUAGUUGGUGAGGUAAUGGCUCACCAAGGCGACGAUCCGUAACUGGUCUGAGAGGAUGAUCAGUCACACUGGAACUGAGACACGGUCCAGACUCCUACGGGAGGCAGCAGUGGGGAAUAUUGGACAAUGGGCGAAAGCCUGAUCCAGCCAUGCCGCGUGUGUGAAGAAGGUCUUCGGAUUGUAAAGCACUUUAAGUUGGGAGGAAGGGCAGUUACCUAAUACGUGAUUGUUUGACGUUACCGACAGA
This 467-nucleotide ribosomal RNA is filed under the name Pseudomonas extremorientalis. Its description in RNAcentral is "bacterial SSU rRNA". It matches the Rfam family "Bacterial small subunit ribosomal RNA", at positions 22 to 485 of the family's 1533-position model. The record is from RNAcentral. Lineage: Bacteria; Pseudomonadati; Pseudomonadota; Gammaproteobacteria; Pseudomonadales; Pseudomonadaceae.